Molecule: long non-coding RNA, 262 nt
Organism: Manis pentadactyla (Chinese pangolin)
Lineage: Eukaryota; Metazoa; Chordata; Mammalia; Pholidota; Manidae
Exons: 2
Source: RefSeq, a predicted model, not a curated record
GUGUGUUCACUUUUUUAACGAGGCAAUUUGUGGCAUAGAAGAGUGAAACCCAUGAACAAUCCUAGUAAUAUAUCUUUAUUAAUGCUACUGCUGAUGGUCACAAUCAGGCAUUUUUGCAAGCCAUAAUCACAAAGGGAGGAAGGGAGAGGGGAACGGAUGAGUGGGGAAAGUCGGGGAAAGAGUGGGAGAGAGAGAGAGAUGGAAUUUCCAGUUCCAUUCUAUUCCCCAAAAUAUUUGCUUCUACUUGGUCUUUGACUUAUGA